This 256-nucleotide ribosomal RNA is filed under the name uncultured bacterium. RNAcentral describes it as "partial 16S ribosomal RNA". It matches the Rfam family "Bacterial small subunit ribosomal RNA", at positions 521 to 776 of the family's 1533-position model. The record is from RNAcentral.
UAAUACGUAGGAUCCAAGCGUUGUCCGGAUUUACUGGGUGUAAAGGGUGCGUAGGCGGACUCGUGCGUUAGGGGUUAAAUGCUUCGGCUCAACCGAAGAAAUGCCUUUAAUACGGCGAGUCUUGAGUGCGAGAGAGGAUAGUAGAAUUCCUGGUGUAGCGGUGAAAUGCGUAGAUAUCAGGAGGAAUACCAGUGGCGAAGGCGGCUAUCUGGCUCGUAACUGACGCUGAGGCACGAAAGCGUGGGGAGCAAACAGG